This 253-nucleotide ribosomal RNA is filed under the name uncultured bacterium. RNAcentral's name for it is "partial 16S ribosomal RNA". It matches the Rfam family "Bacterial small subunit ribosomal RNA", at positions 524 to 776 of the family's 1533-position model. The record is from RNAcentral.
GACAGAGGUGCCGAGCGUUAGGCGGAAUCACUGGGCUUAAAGCGUGUGUAGGCGGAUCGUUAAGUACCUUGUGAAAUCCCACGGCUCAACCGUGGAACUGCUGGGUAUACUGGCGGUCUUGAGCCACCUAGGGGCGAGCGGAACAAGCGGUGGAGCGGUGAAACGCGUAGAUAUCGCUUGGAACGCCAACGGUGAAAACAGCUCGCUGGGGGUGUGCUGACACUGAGACACGAAAGCCAGGGGAGCGAACGGG